AAGAGGAAGCGCCUCAGUGAGGAGGCGAAGCCGAGCCGGGCCUCUUGGGGGAAAUAGGAGAAGGACUUUCAACAUCUGCUGCCGAGGACAACAAUCCUACAGGGUAGGCUGGCCCCAGAGAGGAGGCGAGGUGUCGUUUGAUGAUGUCAGAGAUUGUGCAGUAAAUGUUCACAAAAACUGCAAGAAUCUCCUGCCUGAAUGUGGCAACAGCAGAUUCAAGCAAAGGGAUUCGCAACUCUGGCCCUCAGGCUCCCCCCCUAGUUUACUCCAGAGUGCCAACCCAGGU
Molecule: long non-coding RNA, 286 nt
Filed under: Notechis scutatus (mainland tiger snake)
Lineage: Eukaryota; Metazoa; Chordata; Lepidosauria; Squamata; Elapidae
Description: lncRNA (ENSNSUG00000016313.1)
Source: RNAcentral